Molecule: ribosomal RNA, 366 nt
Filed under: uncultured bacterium
Lineage: Bacteria
Description: bacterial SSU rRNA
Rfam family: Bacterial small subunit ribosomal RNA
Source: RNAcentral
AACGAACGCUGGCGGCAUGCCUAACACAUGCAAGUCGAACGGGAUCCAGGCUUCGGCCUGGUGAGAGUGGCGGACGGGUGAGUAACGCGUGGGAACCUGCCCAAUGGUCUGGGAUAACCGCGGGAAACUGCGGCUAAUACCGGAUAAGCCCGAGAGGGAAAGAUUUAUCGCCGAUGGAGGGCCGCGUCAGAUUAGGUAGUUGGUGGGUGAGUGGCCUACCAAGCCUACGAUCUGUAGCUGGUCUGAGAGGAUGAUCAGCCACACUGGGGCUGGAGAUACGGCCCAGACUCCUACGGGAGGCAGCAGUGGGGAAUAGUUGGACAAUGGGGGCAACCCGUGAUCCAGCAAUGCCGCGUGAGUGAUGAA